RNAcentral lists this long non-coding RNA (794 nucleotides) under Homo sapiens (human). Its description in RNAcentral is "non-protein coding lnc-TMSB4X-6:1". Lineage: Eukaryota; Metazoa; Chordata; Mammalia; Primates; Hominidae. The record is from RNAcentral.
UUUUUGUACUAAUAAUAUCUCAUUGUAUAAAUAGACCACAUUUUGUUUAUCCAUUCAUCAGUUGUCAGACAUUUGGGAUGUUUUUACUUUUUGGCUAUUGUGAAUAAUGCUACUAAUAUUUGUGUACAGGUUUUUAUGUGGACAUAUGUUUUCAUUUUGCUUUAGUGUAUAUCUAGGAGGCUGCUUAUGUUUGGGGACCAGAGAUAGGUAAAAGAAUCAGUGAAGAUAGUAAAUAAGUUGAAAUAAACCUCAAUUUAAUUAAACAUGUCAACUCCCAGACUAUUUUAUUGCUUGGUACUUAAAACACACUCCCAAGAGGAAGAUUAAUUAAUAAAGCUGCAGUGUGGGAUAGCUAUCCAGCUGGAAGCAGCACAGGCCCCUAACAAGGUUUGUUUUUGGCAAAUUCCCAUCUCCAGUCUUCUCUUCUCCCACAAUAGGGUGAAGCAUCCCAUUCCUGCCUUAUCCCCAGAAGGCCUGGCUUCCAGACAUCUGUCUCAGAAAGAGGUAUGAGGCAGAAGGUUCCACUAGGUAAAUUGUUGAUAAAAGCUCAAGUGCAAUUCCUGCCCUAGGAUUUGGACUUGAAUAAAGGGACUCUCAAGACACUGAGGAAUGACUCUCAAUUCUGGAAAGUGUAGGCACUUGCAAAGGGGCAGAGAGUUGUGUGAGAAUAUGGAGGAGGAAGAUUCUUGGAUGGUCCCUCCAAUCAGGCCAGUUGUAUGUGCUACGUAUGUAGGGGUUGGACCCACCCCCUUGUCCAGUGAUCUUGGAGAAGUCACUUAAACGUUCUCUUUUGG